Molecule: ribosomal RNA, 218 nt
Filed under: Fusobacterium naviforme
Lineage: Bacteria; Fusobacteriati; Fusobacteriota; Fusobacteriia; Fusobacteriales; Fusobacteriaceae
Description: partial 16S ribosomal RNA
Rfam family: Bacterial small subunit ribosomal RNA
Source: RNAcentral
CUGGCUCAGGAUGAACGCUGGCGGCGUGCUUAACACAUGCAAGUCGAACGAGAGCUACAGGAGGAAGUUUUCGGAUGGAAUCCGGUAGAUCGAGUGGCGGACGGGUGAGUAACGCGUGGGGAACCUGCCUCAUACAGGGGGAUAACAGUUGGAAACGACUGUUAAUACCGCAUAAGACCACAGAGUCGCAUGACUCAGGGGUAAAAACUCCGGUGGUA